Molecule: ribosomal RNA, 496 nt
Filed under: uncultured bacterium
Lineage: Bacteria
Description: partial 16S ribosomal RNA
Rfam family: Bacterial small subunit ribosomal RNA
Source: RNAcentral
GAUGAACGCUGGCGGCGUGCCUAAUACAUGCAAGUCGAGCGAACAGACGAGGAGCUUGCUCCUCUGACGUUAGCGGCGGACGGGUGAGUAACACGUGGAUAACCUACCUAUAAGACUGGGAUAACUUCGGGAAACCGGAGCUAAUACCGGAUAAUAUAUUGAACCGCAUGGUUCAAUAGUGAAAGACGGUUUUGCUGUCACUUAUAGAUGGAUCCGCGCCGCAUUAGCUAGUUGGUAAGGUAACGGCUUACCAAGGCAACGAUGCGUAGCCGACCUGAGAGGGUGAUCGGCCACACUGGAACUGAGACACGGUCCAGACUCCUACGGGAGGCAGCAGUAGGGAAUCUUCUGCAAUGGGCGAAAGCUUGACGGAGCAACGCCGCGGGAGUGAUGAAGGUCUUCGGAUCGUAAAACUCUGUUAUUAGGGAAGAACAAAUGUGUAAGUAACUAUGCACGUCUGGACGGUACCUAAGCAGAAAGCCACGGCUAACUACGG